GACGAACGCUGGCGGCGUGCUUAACACAUGCAAGUCGAACGGAAAGGCCCUGCUUUUGUGGGGUGCUCGAGUGACGAACGGGUGAGUAACCCGUGAGUAACCUGCCCUUGACUUUGGGAUAACUUCAGGAAACUGGGGCUAAUACCGGAUCGGAGCUCCUGCUGCAUGGUGGGGGUUGGAACGUUUCGGCGGUUGGGGAUGGACUCGCGGCUUAUCAGCUUGUUGGUGGGGUAGUGGCUUACCAAGGCUUUGACGGGUAGCCGGCCUGAGAGGGUCAACGGCCACAAUGGGACUGAGAUACGGCGCAGACUGCUACGGGAGGCAGCAGGGGGGAAUAUUGCACAAUGGGCGGAAGCCUGAGGCAGCAACGCCGCGUGCGUGAUGACGGCCUUCGGGUUGUAAACCGCUUUCGCCUGUGACGAAGCGUGAGUGACGGUAAUGGGUAAAGAAGCACCGGCUAACUACGUG
Molecule: ribosomal RNA, 468 nt
Filed under: uncultured bacterium
Lineage: Bacteria
Description: partial 16S ribosomal RNA
Rfam family: Bacterial small subunit ribosomal RNA
Source: RNAcentral